GAUGAACGCUAGCUACAGGCUUAACACAUGCAAGUCGAGGGGAAACGAUAUUGGAAGCUUGCUUCUGAUAGGCGUCGACCGGCGCACGGGUGAGUAACGCGUAUCCAACCUGCCCAUCACUUGGGGAUAACCUUGUGAAAGUAAGACUAAUACCCAAUGACGUCUCUAGAAGACAUCUGAAAGAGAUUAAAGAUUUAUCGGUGAUGGAUGGGGAUGCGUCUGAUUAGCUUGUUGGCGGGGUAACGGCCCACCAAGGCGACGAUCAGUAGGGGUUCUGAGAGGAAGGUCCCCCCACAUUGGAACUGAGACACGGUCCAAACUCCUACGGGAGGCGAGCCAGUGAGGAAUAUUGGUCAAUGGACGAGAGUCUGAACCAGCCAAGUAGCGUGCAGGA
Molecule: ribosomal RNA, 394 nt
Filed under: uncultured bacterium
Lineage: Bacteria
Description: bacterial SSU rRNA
Rfam family: Bacterial small subunit ribosomal RNA
Source: RNAcentral